Molecule: ribosomal RNA, 253 nt
Filed under: uncultured bacterium
Lineage: Bacteria
Description: partial 16S ribosomal RNA
Rfam family: Bacterial small subunit ribosomal RNA
Source: RNAcentral
GACGUAGGGCGCGAGCGUUGUCCGGAUUUAUUGGGCGUAAAGAGCUCGUAGGCGGCUCGUUGCGUCGGCUGUGAAAACCCGGGGCUCAACUCCGGGCCUGCAGCCGAUACGGGCAGACUAGAGUUCGGCAGGGGAGACUGGAAUUCCUGGUGUAGCGGUGAAAUGCGCAGAUAUCAGGAGGAACACCGGUGGCGAAGGCGGGUCUCUGGGCCGAUACUGACGCUGAGACGCGAAAGCGUGGGGAGCAAACAGG